RNAcentral lists this ribosomal RNA (202 nucleotides) under uncultured bacterium. RNAcentral describes it as "partial 16S ribosomal RNA". It matches the Rfam family "Bacterial small subunit ribosomal RNA", at positions 28 to 229 of the family's 1533-position model. The record is from RNAcentral.
GACGAACGCUGGCGGCGUGCUUAACACAUGCAAGUCGAGCGGUAAGGCCCUUUCGGGGGUACACGAGCGGCGAACGGGUGAGUAACACGUGGGUGACCUGCCCUCAGCUCUGGGAUAAAGCCUGGGAAACCGGGUCUAAUACCGGAUAUGACUCCAUGACGCAUGUUGUGGGGUGGAAAGCCUUGUGCGGCUGGAGGAUGGG